This 89-nucleotide transfer RNA is filed under the name Helobdella robusta. Its description in RNAcentral is "tRNA-Met for anticodon CAU". It matches the Rfam family "tRNA". Rfam says of the family: Transfer RNA (tRNA) molecules are approximately 80 nucleotides in length. Their secondary structure includes four short double-helical elements and three loops (D, anti-codon, and T loops). The record is from Rfam by way of RNAcentral. Lineage: Eukaryota; Metazoa; Annelida; Clitellata; Rhynchobdellida; Glossiphoniidae.
GCCUAAGUGGCGCAGUAGGCAGCGCGUCAGUCUCAUAAUCAAAUGAUAGAGCGAUCUGAAGGUCGUGAGUUCGAGCCUCACCUUGGGCA